RNAcentral lists this long non-coding RNA (283 nucleotides) under Nicotiana benthamiana. RNAcentral's name for it is "long non-coding RNA (NBEN_LNC039532)". Lineage: Eukaryota; Viridiplantae; Streptophyta; Magnoliopsida; Solanales; Solanaceae. The record is from RNAcentral.
AGCGGUCGAGGGUUGAGUGAGGGCCAGUGGUUGCGUUGCGAAUAUUGAAUUCCAUGUGCUAGAUAUCCCUGCUUCUUUGAAUCUGUUACUGGGUAGGCCAUGUAACCAUGCCUUUGGGUGCUCUUCCUUCUUCGUUACAACAAAAGAUCAAGAUGCCAAGAGAUGGGGGAAUUCUUACUAUCCAUGGAGAUGCUGAUAGGGAGACAGCUUUCUUCGAGGUGAAGGAUGACAAUGCAGGAUUUAAUCUAACCGGGUUCAGUUUGUUAAUGCUAUAGAAAGGGUG